RNAcentral lists this ribosomal RNA (1506 nucleotides) under metagenome. RNAcentral describes it as "bacterial SSU rRNA". It matches the Rfam family "Bacterial small subunit ribosomal RNA". The record is from RNAcentral.
AGAGUUUGAUCCUGGCUCAGGACGAACGCUGGCGGCGUGCCUAAUACAUGCAAGUAGAACGCUGAAGAGAGGAGCUUGCUCUUCUUGGAUGAGUUGCGAACGGGUGAGUAACGCGUAGGUAACCUGCCUUGUAGCGGGGGAUAACUAUUGGAAACGAUAGCUAAUACCGCAUAACAAUGGAUGACACAUGUCAUUUAUUUGAAAGGGGCAAUUGUUCCACUACAAGAUGGACCUGCGUUGUAUUAGCUAGUAGGUGAGGUAAUGGCUCACCUAGGCGACGAUACAUAGCCGACCUGAGAGGGUGAUCGGCCACACUGGGACUGAGACACGGCCCAGACUCCUACGGGAGGCAGCAGUAGGGAAUCUUCGGCAAUGGGGGCAACCCUGACCGAGCAACGCCGCGUGAGUGAAGAAGGUUUUCGGAUCGUAAAGCUCUGUUGUAAGUCAAGAACGGGUGUGAGAGUGGAAAGUUCACACUGUGACGGUAGCUUACCAGAAAGGGACGGCUAACUACGUGCCAGCAGCCGCGGUAAUACGUAGGUCCCGAGCGUUGUCCGGAUUUAUUGGGCGUAAAGCGAGCGCAGGCGGUUUGAUAAGUCUGAAGUUAAAGGCUGUGGCUCAACCAUAGUUCGCUUUGGAAACUGUCAAACUUGAGUGCAGAAGGGGAGAGUGGAAUUCCAUGUGUAGCGGUGAAAUGCGUAGAUAUAUGGAGGAACACCGGUGGCGAAAGCGGCUCUCUGGUCUGUAACUGACGCUGAGGCUCGAAAGCGUGGGGAGCGAACAGGAUUAGAUACCCUGGUAGUCCACGCCGUAAACGAUGAGUGCUAGGUGUUGGAUCCUUUCCGGGAUUCAGUGCCGCAGCUAACGCAUUAAGCACUCCGCCUGGGGAGUACGACCGCAAGGUUGAAACUCAAAGGAAUUGACGGGGGCCCGCACAAGCGGUGGAGCAUGUGGUUUAAUUCGAAGCAACGCGAAGAACCUUACCAGGUCUUGACAUCCCGAUGCUAUUUCUAGAGAUAGAAAGUUACUUCGGUACAUCGGUGACAGGUGGUGCAUGGUUGUCGUCAGCUCGUGUCGUGAGAUGUUGGGUUAAGUCCCGCAACGAGCGCAACCCCUAUUGUUAGUUGCCAUCAUUCAGUUGGGCACUCUAGCGAGACUGCCGGUAAUAAACCGGAGGAAGGUGGGGAUGACGUCAAAUCAUCAUGCCCCUUAUGACCUGGGCUACACACGUGCUACAAUGGUUGGUACAACGAGUUGCGAGUCGGUGACGGCGAGCUAAUCUCUUAAAGCCAAUCUCAGCUCGGAUUGUAGGCUGCAACUCGCCUACAUGAAGUCGGAAUCGCUAGUAAUCGCGGAUCAGCACGCCGCGGUGAAUACGUUCCCGGGCCUUGUACACACCGCCCGUCACACCACGAGAGUUUGUAACACCCGAAGUCGGUGAGGUAACCUUUUGGAGCCAGCCGCCUAAGGUGGGACAGAUGAUUGGGGUGAAGUCGUAACAAGGUA